ACUUCCUGGGGACUGGUGCAAUAAGGGGUGAUAUUCUUGCAAGGAUAGCUACAGGAUACUAGAGGCAGUUUGUGAAGUUGCAAUGCCUGUUGCAGUCUGUUGGAGUCGGUACUACCCUAGAAAAAGUGGCCGGGUGUGCAUUUCCUUAUUUGGUCUGUUUGUGAAGUUGCAAUGCCUGUUGAAAGUGAUUGCGGCACUAUUGUUGGUGAAUUCAAGAAUUUUAUGAUCCAAUUAAAUUUUAGACCAAAGUUUGUAGGGUCAUAUGUAAUGGGGCUGAUCAGUAGAUAUGGUUCAUUGAGCACAGAUCUGAAAGGGAAGCGUGUUUAUGAUCAUGUGCCCCCUUUGUCAACCGUAAACUAUGUUGUUGCAGUAACUUGGGUGUCAUUUGGCUGAAUUUACCCCCAUUU
This 407-nucleotide long non-coding RNA is filed under the name Triticum aestivum (bread wheat). Its description in RNAcentral is "long non-coding RNA (TAES_LNC010971)". Lineage: Eukaryota; Viridiplantae; Streptophyta; Magnoliopsida; Poales; Poaceae. The record is from RNAcentral.